GGAGAGGUGGUAGAGCGGUUGAAUACACCAGUCUUGAAAACUGGCAUACGAGCAAUCGUAUCGAGGGUUCGAAUCCCUCCCUCUCCGCCA
RNAcentral lists this transfer RNA (90 nucleotides) under Bdellovibrionales bacterium. Its description in RNAcentral is "tRNA-Ser". It matches the Rfam family "tRNA". From Rfam's summary of the family: Transfer RNA (tRNA) molecules are approximately 80 nucleotides in length. Their secondary structure includes four short double-helical elements and three loops (D, anti-codon, and T loops). The record is from RNAcentral. Lineage: Bacteria; Pseudomonadati; Bdellovibrionota; Bdellovibrionia; Bdellovibrionales.